CCCCUAGUAAUGGCGAAUGAAGAGGGAAAAGCCCAAUUUUGUAAUCUGGCCCUUUUAGGGUCCGAGUUGUAAAGUGAAGAGGUGCUUUCUUGUGCUGGACCAUAUAUAAGUCUGUUGGAAUACAGCAUCAUUGAAGGUGAGAAUCCUGUCUAAUGAUAUGGACUACCAGUGCUUUUAUGAAGCAGUCUCUAAGAGUCGAGUUGUUUGGGAAUGCAGCUCAAAAUGGGUGGUAAAUUCCAUCUAAGGCUAAAUAUUGGUGAGAGACCGAUAGCAAACAAGUACCGUGAGGGAAAGAUGAAAAGAACUUUGGAAAGAGAGUUAACAGUAUGUGAAAUUGUUAAAAGGGAAACACUUGAAGUUAGACUUGAUAAUGUCAGUUCAGCCUUUUAUUAGGGUGUAUUCUGUGCAUUAUCAGACCAACAUCAAUUUUGGGUGUUAGAUAAGGGUUUGGGAAAUGUAGCAACUUUGGUUGUGUUAUAGUCCUGAAUUUCAUAUAUAAUGCCCAAGAUUGAGGAGAUUCACAGUAAGCUGGAAAGAGAUUUUCAGUAGGUCACCAAAAUGGUUGACACUCUUACUAU
RNAcentral lists this ribosomal RNA (578 nucleotides) under Hemileia vastatrix. Its description in RNAcentral is "eukaryotic LSU rRNA". It matches the Rfam family "Eukaryotic large subunit ribosomal RNA", at positions 77 to 641 of the family's 3401-position model. Lineage: Eukaryota; Fungi; Basidiomycota; Pucciniomycetes; Pucciniales; Zaghouaniaceae. The record is from RNAcentral.